This is a non-coding RNA of Paramuricea clavata, 218 nucleotides long. Lineage: Eukaryota; Metazoa; Cnidaria; Anthozoa; Malacalcyonacea; Plexauridae. The record is from the annotation of a GenBank genome assembly.
GUUAACAACUUGUAACAAGCUUGAUAGCAUUAUCAGACUUGUUACAAGGUUGUUCUAACUAGUCUAACACAGUCAUGACGUAACAAGAAUGCUACAAAGUUGAUAACACAAGGUUGUAACAAUAUUAUUAUAGCAUGCCCGUUAUAUCAUACCCGACUUGUUGGAACAACCUUGCAACAAGUCUGAUAAUAUCAACAAGGUUGUUGCAAGUCGUUAGC